RNAcentral lists this ribosomal RNA (301 nucleotides) under uncultured bacterium. RNAcentral's name for it is "partial 16S ribosomal RNA". It matches the Rfam family "Bacterial small subunit ribosomal RNA", at positions 509 to 807 of the family's 1533-position model. The record is from RNAcentral.
CAGUAGCCGCGGUAAUACGAAGGUCCCGAGCGUUGUUCGGAAUCACUGGGCGUAAAGGGAGCGAAGGCGGCGUGGUAAGUCAGAUGUGAAAUCCCGGGGCUCAACCCCGGAACUGCAUCCGAUACUGCCGUGCUAGAGGAUUGGAGAGGUAGCUGGAAUUCUUGGUGUAGCAGUGAAAUGCGUGGAGAUCAAGAGGAACACUCGUGGCGAAAGCGAGCUACUGGACAAUAUCUGACGCUGAGGCUCGAAGGCCAGGGUAGCGAAAGGGAUUAGAUACCCGCGUAGUCCCUGUCUCUUAUAC